UUUUAAAUUGUUUCCUCUUAAAUAAAAACAAACAAACAAACAAACAAAAAAAAUUGUUUCUGCUUCUCCACAGGAAGGCCUCACACCACUUAGGCUUGCUCUAAUGGCAAACAGAAUGGAAACGGCAACAUUGUUAAAAAAGACAGGAACAAAGAAUGUGGUGAAUGAGCCGGAAAGACUUGUCUUAAAAGAAGAGGACAAGAAAAAAAGUCUUGAGGAAAAAUG
Molecule: long non-coding RNA, 225 nt
Filed under: Cavia porcellus (domestic guinea pig)
Lineage: Eukaryota; Metazoa; Chordata; Mammalia; Rodentia; Caviidae
Description: lncRNA (ENSCPOG00000039970.1)
Source: RNAcentral